AGGUGCUGCAUGGCUGUCGUCAGCUCGUGUUGUGAAAUGUUGGGUUAAGUCCCGCAACGAGCGCAACCCCUAUCCUUAGUUGCCAGCACAUCAUGGUGGGAACUCUAGGGAGACUGCCUGUGUUAAGCAGGAGGAAGGUGGGGAUGACGCCAAGUCAUCAUGGCCCUUAUGUCCAGGGCGACACACGUGCUACAAUGGCCAGUACAAAGGGUCGCGAACCCGCAAGGGGGAGCCAAUCUCAAAAAGCUGGUCCCAGUUCAGAUCGGGGUCUGCAACCCGACCCCGUGAAGUUGGAAUCGCUAGUAAUCGCGCAUCAGAACGGCGCGGUGAAUACGUUCCCGGGCCUUGUACACACCGCCCGUCACACCACGAAAGUCCGCUGUACCCGAAACCGGUGG
This 398-nucleotide ribosomal RNA is filed under the name uncultured bacterium. Its description in RNAcentral is "bacterial SSU rRNA". It matches the Rfam family "Bacterial small subunit ribosomal RNA", at positions 1036 to 1433 of the family's 1533-position model. The record is from RNAcentral.